GUUUUAAUGAUACCAAGCUCUGGUAAAUUCGAAAGUCAACCGCAAAGCCGAUAUCGGUAAAAUCUCGCUGCUUUUCUCAACAGUGUCAAGCUUCCUGACCCGCUCCACCGUGCUUGUCUUCCAAGAAUUUUGGCGACGUCUGCGGUGGCCUACGCUGUAAAGCUGCAGGAUGCACCAGAUUCCCGUCAGAUGCGCAAUGCACAGUCCGUACCUGACUGCAUUCCUGCGUGCUCGAUCUGCACCCGUCUGCGGAGCCGGCCGUGCUCUGUCCGUACCUGCGCGCGGGGCCGACAGUGGUCGGUCCCUACCUGAAUGCAAGGUCAUUCGCGUGUGUCGAGCCACGGUUUCGUUAGUCGUUAGUUUUGUUAGUUUCGUGUCGAGCCACGGUUUUGCUGCGUUCUUGGGACGUUUAUAUGCGUUGCUACGCUUAACCCCAAAGUAGCAUGCGGGUAGAAGUAUGGAGGAGCGGAACAUGUGUAUUUGUGACAAAGCUAUUUGCACACUGAAAAACGUUAACUCUACAACUGAUGAAUCUCUGUGGGUUUCAUACGGAUGCCAGCGUGUUUCAACAAUUACAUU
Long non-coding RNA from Pollicipes pollicipes, 579 nucleotides. RefSeq lists it as uncharacterized. NCBI's taxonomy places the organism in Eukaryota, Metazoa, Arthropoda, Thecostraca, Pollicipedomorpha, Pollicipedidae. The transcript has 3 exons. The record is from RefSeq and is a predicted model, not a curated record.